RNAcentral lists this ribosomal RNA (514 nucleotides) under uncultured bacterium. RNAcentral's name for it is "bacterial SSU rRNA". It matches the Rfam family "Bacterial small subunit ribosomal RNA", at positions 8 to 518 of the family's 1533-position model. The record is from RNAcentral.
AGAGUUUGAUCCUGGCUUAGGAUGAACGCUGGCGCGUGCCUAACACAUGGCAAGUCGAACGAAGCAUUUGAUCCGGAUCAUUUCGGUGUGAAGGAGCUUAUGACUUAGUGGCGGACGGGUGAGUAACGCGUAGGGCAACCUGCCCUUAACUGGGGGACAACAGUUGGAAACGGCUGCUAAUACCGCAUAAGCGCACGGAACCGCAUGGUUCAGUGUGAAAAAUUCCGGUGGUUAAGGAUGGGCCCGCGUUGGAUUAGGUAGUUGGUGCGGUAACGGCGCACCAAGCCGACGAUCCAUAGCCGACCUGAGAGGGUGACCGGCCACAUUGGGACUGAGACACGGCCCAGACUCCUGCGGGAGGCAGCAGUGGGGAAUAUUGCACAAUGGGGGAAACCCUGAUGCCAGCGACGCCGCGUGAGUGAAGAAGUAUUUCGGUAUGUAAAGCUCUUUCGGCAGGGAAGAAGAUGACGGUACCUGCAGAAGAAGCCCCGGCUAACUACGUGCCAGCCGCCGC